GACGAACGCUGGCGGCGUGCUUAACACAUGCAAGUCGAGCGGUAAGGCCCUUUCGGGGGUACGACGAGCGGCGAACGGGUGAGUAACACGUGGGUGACCUGCCCUCAGCUCUGGGAUAAGCCCGGGAAACCGGGUCUAAUACUGGAUAUGACUCCAUGACGCAUGUUGUGGGGUGGAAAGCCUUGUGCGGCUGAGGAUGGGCCCGCGGCCUAUCAGCUUGUUGGUGGGGUGAUGGCCUACCAAGGCGACGACGGUAGCCGGCCUGAGAGGGCGACCGGCCACACUGGGACUGAGACACGGCCCAGACUCCUACGGGAGGCAGCAGGUGGGGAAUCUUGCGCAAUGGGCGAAAGCCUGACGCAGCGACG
RNAcentral lists this ribosomal RNA (368 nucleotides) under uncultured bacterium. RNAcentral describes it as "bacterial SSU rRNA". It matches the Rfam family "Bacterial small subunit ribosomal RNA", at positions 28 to 396 of the family's 1533-position model. The record is from RNAcentral.